RNAcentral lists this ribosomal RNA (468 nucleotides) under uncultured bacterium. RNAcentral's name for it is "partial 16S ribosomal RNA". It matches the Rfam family "Bacterial small subunit ribosomal RNA", at positions 28 to 507 of the family's 1533-position model. The record is from RNAcentral.
GACGAACGCUGGCGGCGUGCUUAACACAUGCAAGUCGAACGGAAAGGCCCUGCUUUUGUGGGGUGCUCGAGUGGCGAACGGGUGAGUAACACGUGAGUAACCUGCCCUUGACUUUGGGAUAACUUCAGGAAACUGGGGCUAAUACCGGAUAGGAGCUCCUGCUGCAUGGUGGGGGUUGGAAAGUUUCGGCGGUUGGGGAUGGACUCGCGGCUUAUCAGCUUGUUGGUGGGGUAGUGGCUUACCAAGGCUUUGACGGGUAGGCGGCCUGAGAGGGUGACCGGCCACAUUGGGACUGAGAUACGGCCCAGACUCCUACGGGAGGCAGCAGUGGGGAAUAUUGCACAAUGGGCGGAAGCCUGAUGCAGCAACGCCGCGUGCGGGAUGACGGCCUUCGGGUUGUAAACCGCUUUCGCCUGUGACGAAGCGUGAGUGACGGUAAUGGGUGAAGAAGCACCGGCUAACUACGUG